Long non-coding RNA from Haliotis rubra (blacklip abalone), 146 nucleotides. RefSeq lists it as uncharacterized. The transcript is spliced from 3 exons. The record is from RefSeq and is a predicted model, not a curated record. Lineage: Eukaryota; Metazoa; Mollusca; Gastropoda; Lepetellida; Haliotidae.
ACUGUAGUUUACUGAGAUAGAUGUAAUCCUAAAUAUAACAUAUGCUACAUUUUGCCACUUUCUAAAAGGCAUUGUCUAGUCAUAAUGUUUAUUCUAAAUAAUUUUGAUGUUUCCAAUAUUUAUAACCCUCCAUAGCCGACUCUACG